This 487-nucleotide ribosomal RNA is filed under the name uncultured bacterium. RNAcentral's name for it is "partial 16S ribosomal RNA". It matches the Rfam family "Bacterial small subunit ribosomal RNA", at positions 28 to 507 of the family's 1533-position model. The record is from RNAcentral.
GACGAACGCUGGCGGCGUGCUUAACACAUGCAAGUCGAACGGGCUCUGUCUGGCUGUGUGCUGGGUGGGGUUAGUGGCGACCGGGUGAGUAAUACGUGAGUAACCUGCCCUCUUCUUUGGGAUAAGCCUUGGAAACGGGGUCUAAUACUGGAUAUUCCUGUCUGGUCGCAUGGCUGGGUGGGGAAAGUUUUUUUCGGUGGGGGAUGGGCUCGCGGCCUAUCAGCUUGUUGGUGGGGUGAUGGCCUACCAAGGCGUCGACGGGUAGCCGGCCUGAGAGGGUGACCGGCCACACUGGGACUGUGAUACGGCCCAGACUCCUACGGGAGGCAGCAGUGGGGGAGAUUGCACAAUGGGCGCAAGCCUGAUGCAGCGACGCCGCGUGGGGGAUGACGGCUUUCGGGUUGUAAACCUCUUUCGUCGGGGGACAAGGCUCUGCUUGGUGGUGGGGUUGAGGGUACCCGGUGAAGAAGCGCCGGCUAACUACGUG